Molecule: transfer RNA, 73 nt
Filed under: Hypoxylon fragiforme
Lineage: Eukaryota; Fungi; Ascomycota; Sordariomycetes; Xylariales; Hypoxylaceae
Also listed under: 4 other names
Description: tRNA-Lys
Rfam family: tRNA
About the family: Transfer RNA (tRNA) molecules are approximately 80 nucleotides in length.
Source: RNAcentral
GCCUGGUUAGCUCAAUCGGUAGAGCGUGAGACUCUUAAUCUCAAGGUUGCGGGUUCGACCCCCGCAUUGGGCU